CCUACGUGAGGCUGCAGUGAGGAAUAUUGGUCAAUGGACGCAAGUCUGAACCAGCCAUGCAGAGUGUAGGAAGACGGCUCUAUGAGUUGUAAACUGCUUUUGUACGAGGGUAAACGCAGAUACGCGUAUCUGUCUGAAAGUAUCCUACGAAUAAGGAUCGGCUAACUCAGUGCCAGCAGCCGCGGUAAUACGGAGGAUUCAAGCGUUAUCCGGAUUUAUUGGGUUUAAGGGGUUCGUAGGCGGUCGGAUAAGUUAGAGGUGAAAUCCAGAGGCUCAACUUCGGAAUUGCCUCUGAUACUGUUCGGCUAGAGAGUAGUUGCGGUAGGCGGAAUGUAUGGUGUAGCGGUGAAAUGCUUAGAGAUCAUACAGAACACCGAUUGCGAAGGCAGCUUACCAAGCUACUUCUGACGUUGAGGCACGAAAGCGUGGGGAGCAAACAGGAUUAGAUACCCCUGUAGUC
Molecule: ribosomal RNA, 460 nt
Filed under: uncultured bacterium
Lineage: Bacteria
Description: partial 16S ribosomal RNA
Rfam family: Bacterial small subunit ribosomal RNA
Source: RNAcentral